GUGAACGCUGGCGGUAGGCCUAACACAUGCAAGUCGAACGGCAGCACAGUAAGAGCUUGCUCUUACGGGUGGCGAGUGGUGGACGGGUGAGGAAUACAUCGGAAUCUACUUUUUCGUGGGGGAUAACGUAGGGAAACUUACGCUAAUACCGCAUACGACCUACGGGUGAAAGCCGGGGAUCUUCGGACCUUGCGCGAUUGAAUGAGCCGAUGUCGGAUUAGCUAGUUGGCGGGGUAAAGGCCCACCAAGGCGACGAUCCGUAGCUGGUCUGAGAGGAUGAUCAGCCACACUGGAACUGAGACACGGUCCAGACUCCUACGGGAGGCAGCAGUGGGGAAUAUUGGACAAUGGGCGCAAGCCUGAUCCAGCCAUACCGCGUGGGUGAAGAAGGCCUUCGGGUUGUAAAGCCCUUUUGUUGGGAAAGAAAAGCAGCAGGUUAAUACCCCGCUGUUCUGACGGUACCCAAAGAAUAAGCGCCGGCUAACUUCGUG
RNAcentral lists this ribosomal RNA (491 nucleotides) under uncultured bacterium. RNAcentral describes it as "partial 16S ribosomal RNA". It matches the Rfam family "Bacterial small subunit ribosomal RNA", at positions 29 to 507 of the family's 1533-position model. The record is from RNAcentral.